Manihot esculenta (cassava) is the source of this 1288-nucleotide long non-coding RNA. RefSeq lists it as uncharacterized. The transcript is spliced from 4 exons. The record is from RefSeq and is a predicted model, not a curated record. Lineage: Eukaryota; Viridiplantae; Streptophyta; Magnoliopsida; Malpighiales; Euphorbiaceae.
CCAUCCUAUUUAGAACACAAGGUGGAAAUUUUGGAGAAUCCUGCAAAACUGGGCCUGUCUCGUUUUAUUUUCUGCCAGAUAUCUCACGAGGCCUUCCAACGAUCGAUUCACCACAUGCUACGUUGAUUCUUAUUUCUUGCUUGCUCCAGUCUCCACACUCCAGAGACUUGGAUUCUGCCUUCUGGGCAUCUCCCGGAUUCUGCCUUCUGGGCAUCUCCCGGAUUCUUUUUUGGAGCUCUUACUGCUUUAUUUCGUCACUAUUCUAUUUUUUUUCCUUAGCUUGCCUGAAUAUGGUUCUACCAAGUUAAACCCAUAUUUUUAUCACGUAUUUGAGAAUCUUAAUGUGGGGAUUUUCUUUUUAUUGCAUUCUCUUUCUAGCCACAAUUGCAUUAAUCUAGCUGCUUUUUGUUAUUGGCAGAUUGUAUUUUUGCUUCUUUAAUAUAUAUAUGUGUAUGUGUGUGUUCUUGUUUGUAAAUAAAGAAGAAUUAAGGCAUAUAAACAUGGGUUUGCUGCUACUCUGAUUGGAUUACCUUUUGUUGGUUACUGAAGUAUUGCUGAUGUGUGCCAUUUUCCUAGUAAGUAUGAUAAUUUGGGUUGAUUGAGUAGAUGAUUCUUCUCUUUUUCUUACAUAUUGUAUUAUUGUGUGUAUUUACUUCUUGUUGCUAGCUAUUAUAUGCGUUGUCAAUUCAUCCAUGUCCAAAGCAAAAGGGUAAGGGCUGAAGGUAGAUUCUUGUGGAGUCCAGCUGUGAUUGGACUGAAUUGGAUAAUCACUUUGCGUUAUUUACAAGUUGAUAAGGAGACACAUUACCUUGAAGUUUGUCAAAUGAGCUUGCAGAAAUUGAUAUUCUAAGGGAUUCUACAUCAGCUUGAAAAGUGUAGAGGUGUAUGUAGACCUUCAUUGAAAAACAUCACUCCCUUUUUCUUUCACAGACACAGACAUUCCAAAUGCUUAUUAUGGUUGGUGUAAUCAGAAUCUUCAACCAGAAUACUGAGUGGAGAAAAAGGAUUGUGCAUAUGCAGAUGAUGAUUCGGAAAGUAUCAUCUUUGGCCAAAAAAGAGUAAAUUUUUGGUGGUAGGGCAUUGGUUUAGCUAAAAGCUUGAAAGCUCCAUGAACCUCUGAUAAUUUCAGCAAACAAGAAGCGAUUGGACUUAGAAUGAUGGGACAACGCCAUAUCCAGCUUCUGCCAUUAGUGUUGUGGAGAACAACUGACCGACUUCAACUUCUACAUCUGUUCUCUUUGCAAAUCGGCCUCUAAUCCGUGGUCUAGUCUCUGCAUAUGCCUUCCUU